CAUCGCUCAACGGAUAAAAGGUACGCCGGGGAUAACAGGCUGAUACUGCCCAAGAGUCCAUAUCGACGGCAGUGUUUGGCACCUCGAUGUCGGCUCAUCACAUCCUGGGGCUGUAGCCGGUCCCAAGGGUAUGGCUGUUCGCCAUUUAAAGAGGUACGUGAGCUGGGUUUAGAACGUCGUGAGACAGUUCGGUCCCUAUCUGCCGUGGGUGUAGGAUACUUGAGAGGAGUUGCCCCUAGUACGAGAGGACCGGGGUGAACGAUCCACUGGUGGACCAGUUGUCGUGCCAACGGCAGUGCUGGGUAGCUAUGAUCGGACAGGAUAACCGCUGAAGGCAUCUAAGCGGGAAGCCCCCCUCAAAACAAGGUCUCCCUGAGGGCCGUGGAAGACCACCACGUCAAUAGGCCG
Molecule: ribosomal RNA, 408 nt
Filed under: Amorphochlora amoebiformis
Lineage: Eukaryota; Cercozoa; Chlorarachniophyceae
Description: partial Bacterial large subunit ribosomal RNA
Rfam family: Bacterial large subunit ribosomal RNA
Source: RNAcentral